UAAUAUAAUAAUUAUCACGAUCUCACCGAUUGUGGAAUUGGGCUCUUAUUUCGAACAGAUUUAUGGCCUUAAAUUUACGCCAUGCGAUUAAUUCGAACCAAGCGGAGCAAUUAAACAUUCUCUCGUUAGACGGAUUACUCACAAGCCAUUACGAUUUUUUGGACGACAAAAAGCACUUUCACGAGCGCGAAGCCCAAGAUCGUAAAUUCAUCCUGAC
RNAcentral lists this unclassified non-coding RNA (217 nucleotides) under uncultured Entrophospora. RNAcentral's name for it is "uncultured Claroideoglomus partial internal transcribed spacer 2". Lineage: Eukaryota; Fungi; Glomeromycota; Glomeromycetes; Entrophosporales; Entrophosporaceae. The record is from RNAcentral.